GAUGAACGCUGGCGGCGUGCCUAAUACAUGCAAGUCGAGCGAACGGACGAGAAGCUUGCUUCUCUGAUGUUAGCGGCGGACGGGUGAGUAACACGUGGAUAACCUACCUAUAAGACUGGGAUAACUUCGGGAAACCGGAGCUAAUACCGGAUAAUAUUUUGAACCGCAUGGUUCAAAAGUGAAAGACGGUCUUGCUGUCACUUAUAGAUGGAUCCGCGCUGCAUUAUCUAGUUGGUAAGUUAACGGCUUACCAAGGCAACGAUGCAUAGCCGACCUGAGAGGCUGAUCGCCCACACUAGAACGGAGACACGGACCAGACUCCUACGGGAGGCAGCAGUAGGGAAUCUUACGCAAUGGGCGAAAGCCUGACGGAGCAACGCCGAGUGAGUGAUGAAGGUCUUCGGAUCGUAAAACUCUGUUAUUAGGGAAGAACAUAUGUGUAAGUAACUGUGCACAUCUUGACGGUACCUAAUCAGAAAGCCACGGCUAACUACGUG
This 497-nucleotide ribosomal RNA is filed under the name uncultured bacterium. Its description in RNAcentral is "partial 16S ribosomal RNA". It matches the Rfam family "Bacterial small subunit ribosomal RNA", at positions 28 to 507 of the family's 1533-position model. The record is from RNAcentral.